RNAcentral lists this ribosomal RNA (552 nucleotides) under Escherichia coli. RNAcentral's name for it is "partial 23S ribosomal RNA". It matches the Rfam family "Bacterial large subunit ribosomal RNA", at positions 2250 to 2801 of the family's 2925-position model. Lineage: Bacteria; Pseudomonadati; Pseudomonadota; Gammaproteobacteria; Enterobacterales; Enterobacteriaceae. The record is from RNAcentral.
GACAGUGUCUGGUGGGUAGUUUGACUGGGGCGGUCUCCUCCUAAAGAGUAACGGAGGAGCACGAAGGUUGGCUAAUCCUGGUCGGACAUCAGGAGGUUAGUGCAAUGGCAUAAGCCAGCUUGACUGCGAGCGUGACGGCGCGAGCAGGUGCGAAAGCAGGUCAUAGUGAUCCGGUGGUUCUGAAUGGAAGGGCCAUCGCUCAACGGAUAAAAGGUACUCCGGGGAUAACAGGCUGAUACCGCCCAAGAGUUCAUAUCGACGGCGGUGUUUGGCACCUCGAUGUCGGCUCAUCACAUCCUGGGGCUGAAGUAGGUCCCAAGGGUAUGGCUGUUCGCCAUUUAAAGUGGUACGCGAGCUGGGUUUAGAACGUCGUGAGACAGUUCGGUCCCUAUCUGCCGUGGGCGCUGGAGAACUGAGGGGGGCUGCUCCUAGUACGAGAGGACCGGAGUGGACGCAUCACUGGUGUUCGGGUUGUCAUGCCAAUGGCACUGCCCGGUAGCUAAAUGCGGAAGAGAUAAGUGCUGAAAGCAUCUAAGCACGAAACUUGCCCCG